Long non-coding RNA from Triticum dicoccoides, 177 nucleotides. RefSeq lists it as uncharacterized. The transcript is spliced from 2 exons. NCBI's taxonomy places the organism in Eukaryota, Viridiplantae, Streptophyta, Magnoliopsida, Poales, Poaceae. The record is from RefSeq and is a predicted model, not a curated record.
CCGAUCCCUUCUUCAAGCAUGGCCGCCGCCCGUCUUCUUUAGGCACGAGCUCCAUCGGGUCCGCCUCCCUGCUGUUGGAGCCCCACAACCCCAGCGCUUCGGACGAACUAGGGACGAACGCCUCGCUGGAGCUCCGCAGGGGCUCAUCGCGCGCCGACCGUCCCGAGCUCCAAUCCG